CCUACGGGAGGCAGCAGUAGGGAAUAUUGCUCAAUGGUCGAAACCCUGAAGCAGCAACGCCGCGUGGAGGAUGAAGGUUUUCGGAUUGUAAACUCCUUUUGUUAGAGAAGAUAAUGACGGUAUCUAACGAAUAAGCACCGGCUAACUCCGUGCCAGCAGCCGCGGUAAUACGGAGGGUGCAAGCGUUACUCGGAAUCACUGGGCGUAAAGAGCGCGUAGGCGGGAUAGCAAGUCAGAUGUGAAAUCCUAUGGCUUAACCAUAGAACUGCAUUUGAAACUGGUAUUCUAGAGUAUGGGAGAGGUAGGUGGAAUUCGUGGUGUAGGGGUAAAAUCCGUAGAGAUCAAGAGGAAUACUCAUUGCGAAGGCGACCUGCUAGAGCAUAACUGACGCUGAUGCGCGAAAGCGUGGGGAGCGAACAGGAUUAGAUACCCUUGUAGUC
RNAcentral lists this ribosomal RNA (440 nucleotides) under uncultured bacterium. Its description in RNAcentral is "partial 16S ribosomal RNA". It matches the Rfam family "Bacterial small subunit ribosomal RNA", at positions 338 to 795 of the family's 1533-position model. The record is from RNAcentral.